AAGACCUUGCGCUUUUGGAGCGGCCGAUGCCUGAUUAGCUUGUUGGUAAGGUAAAAGCUUACCAAGGCUUCGAUCAGUAGCUGGUCUGAGAGGACGACCAGCCACACUGGGACUGAGACACGGCCCAGACUCCUACGGGAGGCAGCAGUGGGGAAUUUUGGACAAUGGGCGCAAGCCUGAUCCAGCCAUGCCGCGUGAGUGAAGAAGGCCUUCGGGUUGUAAAGCUCUUUCAGCCGGGAAGAAAAGGUUGCGACUAAUAAUCGCAAUCCAUGACGGUACCGAAAGAAGAAGCACCGGCUAACUACGUGCCAGCAGCCGCGGUAAUACGUAGGGUGCGAGCGUUAAUCGGAAUUACUGGGCGUAAAGGGUGCGCAGGCGGUUUUGUAAGUCAGAUGUGAAAUCCCCGGGCUUAACCUGGGAACU
This 423-nucleotide ribosomal RNA is filed under the name uncultured bacterium. RNAcentral describes it as "bacterial SSU rRNA". It matches the Rfam family "Bacterial small subunit ribosomal RNA", at positions 207 to 622 of the family's 1533-position model. The record is from RNAcentral.